This is a long non-coding RNA of Oreochromis niloticus (Nile tilapia), 211 nucleotides long. RefSeq lists it as uncharacterized. Lineage: Eukaryota; Metazoa; Chordata; Actinopteri; Cichliformes; Cichlidae. The record is from RefSeq and is a predicted model, not a curated record. The transcript has 3 exons.
AUCCUGGCCUCCAGAGCUGCAAAUAUGCUACAUUUGUUACAGGAACAGGAAGUGAUACUCUACCACAAAGUGAGCGAACACCACGUGACAGCGCCACCAAGAGGCAGGAGUGCAAGGCACUACAGGGGAAACAAUGUCUUCAACACAAAAGGACCAACAUGGAGCGAGAAGUCAGUGCUCUCAGGAGGCCGACAAACCUCACAGAAGAAAG